Molecule: unclassified non-coding RNA, 287 nt
Filed under: fungal sp.
Lineage: Eukaryota; Fungi
Description: partial contains small subunit ribosomal RNA, internal transcribed spacer 1, and 5.8S ribosomal RNA
Rfam family: Eukaryotic small subunit ribosomal RNA (bases 1-47)
Source: RNAcentral
AAAGUCGUAACAAGGUAUCCGUAGGUGAACCUGCGGAUGGAUCAUUAUCACGUAUCCACGUAUCAACCAUUGUGAACUGUAUUUUCACCUCUGAUAGGGUUUUGAUGGGAUUUUUUGGAAAUUCCGGUUUCUAUUCUUUCCUCUUAUCAGAGCGUAAAUCAUUAUUUUAUUAACAAUUUAAACUCAAAAUUUUAUACUUUUUGAACUGAUUUAUUUCUUACUCUUCGGAGAAGAAAUUUCAUUACGAAACAUAAGAACAACUCUUAGCAACGGAUAUCUUGGUUCUC